UAACGGGCCGGCCCUGCGCGGGGAGCCGCGGAGCCCAGGUUUGCCUCCUGCCGUCGUCUCGCAGGCUGCGAUUUCUCCCGAGGAGGGCCGGAGGUGACGGCAGGGCCGGCGCGGGGACACGUCGGUGGCGGCGGGGAGCGGGGCCGGGGUGGCCGCAGGGGGCACGGGGCCGGGGGCGCGCUGGGCCGGGGCUGUGCCCCCCGCGCAGGGGGUGCCGUGGGGGGGGGGCAGUCGCUGUUCCCCUCGGCAGCCUUGGGCGCCGCGUUUCGGCCCCGUUUUCAAGCCCUCAGGACGAGAAAUUUACUUUCAGAUAAGAUCCAAGGCUGUGCCGGGAGCCGCCCGUCCGGGCCCGCUCUGCUGCUGGAGAAAAGAGGCGGCGGGGGGCGCAGGGUGCCGGCAGGGUGCCCCCACCCCUCGGGCGUCCCCGGAUCUGCGGCAGCCGCAGGUGAGGGCCCCGCUGUGCCUCCGCUGCCCCCUGCGGGGCUGCCGCUGCGGGCACCGACGGCGGUUACCGGGGGCAGGCUCAGACGCCCCGGUCCCGGCCCCGCUCCUUCAGCACCGCGAACAGCGGCGGGGGCGCCUCCAGCACCACGGACAGCGGCGAGGCCGGGCCUCCCCCUGCCUCCCUGCCGGCCUCUCCCCACCUGCCCUGCCUCCCUCCCGCCUUGCCUCCCCGCCCGGCCCUGCCCUCCCCUCCCGGCCCUCCCUUCCAGCCUCCCUGCCCGCUGUCCCCGCGCUGCCUCCCUGCCCGCCCGCCCUGCCCCGACGGCGCAGUCCCGGGGAGGGAGGCGGGGCGGCCCGGCGGCCCAUAAAGGCGGCGGCGGCGGCGGCGGAGCGCCGGAGCACCAUGUCCCCGCCGGGCUCCCCGCCGCGGCCCCCGCGCCGCCCCGCCGCCGAGACGCGCAAGGUGAGCGGCGGCCCCCCCGAGGGCCCCGUCGAGGCCGGGCCGCCCUCACCGCCCCUUCUCCCCGCAGACCCUCAAGCCCCUGCUGGAGAAGCGCCGCCGCGCCCGCAUCAACGAGAGCCUCAGCCAGCUCAAGGCGCUCAUCCUGCCGCUCGUCGGCAAGGACGUGAGUGCCGCGGCCCCGGCCCCCCGCN
Molecule: long non-coding RNA, 1098 nt
Filed under: Anser brachyrhynchus (Pink-footed goose)
Lineage: Eukaryota; Metazoa; Chordata; Aves; Anseriformes; Anatidae
Description: lncRNA (ENSABRG00000002744.1)
Source: RNAcentral